This is a non-coding RNA of Mus caroli (Ryukyu mouse), 1152 nucleotides long. The record is from RefSeq and is a predicted model, not a curated record. Lineage: Eukaryota; Metazoa; Chordata; Mammalia; Rodentia; Muridae.
CUUGGUUUGAAAUGGAACAAUCUUCAGAGAUGGGGCUUUGUGAAAACGAUGGGAUCCAGUUCUGACUUUAUCAGCAGAUCAAUCUACUGCUGAGCCUCGCUUACUAAAGAGGAUGAGAAAAUAUACUCUCAAAGUGGUGCAUACUUUGCCCAGCUAGAAUUUUCUAGUAAAGUGGAAAAAGAGGAAGAGAGAAGUUGCUGACGGACCAUAGUCUUCACUAGCUCUCGAAACUGCUGUAUCUCCAAACCCUCAACUUAAGGAUGAGAAAAAAAAAUUGUCUCAUCCUAUAUGGUUUGGAAGCUUUAUAAGUGACCAUACCAACCAGAUAGAAAUGGAGCAACAUGGUCCUGUCUUACUGAGAGGAGAAAUCUCUACUGGAACACUCUUUUCCCUGUCAGCUUAAUACUCAGGAGACAGAAAUGACCUCGAGUUAUGUUCUCCAAUGCAGCACAAGGCAGAAGGAAUGCUUCUCACGAGCUUCACCAAGGGAGACGGGUGGCAAGCAUCUUUCAGGCGUUCCCAAGCUCGCCCCAAUUUGUGGAGACAGCUCUGGUACCAUGGCAUUUUCUGAUGACAACAACUCCCGAUGCAGCUGUACCAAUGCUGCCGCUGAUAUAUCCAUUAAAAAAGAGAAGCUUGCAAAAUCCAGAUUUGAAAUUCAAUAAGGAAUUCAGAGGAAAGUCUUGCUUUCAGGCCAUCUCCUGGCUAAAUGAAUAAAUGAAUAGGGAAACUAUUGCAUACAAAAAAAAUGUCAAAAGCUACCAAAGGAAGCUUUGCUCACUAAUGUUUCAAAACAGCCCCGUCUGGAAAGGUAUGCUUUUAGACUAAGAAAGCAGAAAAAAACUAAUUAGACAAGAAGUAACCGUGAACAAACAUGUUAGCAGAACCAAUAACUGGAACUGAUCAGCUAUUUCUCUAAUUGUGCCAGCUGGACAGCUAUGAUGCGCUUAGCAGAGCAUAAUUACUAAUUUCUAUUCCAUACCCCAACCCUUUUCUCUCCUCUCCCUUUUGCAGAAAUACCCAGGCAUAUGCCACUUAAUAAAAUAAUAAUGACGCUCCGUAAAGGUAAAAACUGAGUGGGAAAAACUGAGAGCCUAUGUACGAUGACAUUUUGUGAAUGAUCAGGAGGUUGAGUGAGAACAAUCCUUAGUU